AGAGUUUGAUCAUGGCUCAGAUUGAACGCUGGCGGCAGGCCUAACACAUGCAAGUCGAACGGUAACAGAAAGCAGCUUGCUGCUUUGCUGACGAGUGGCGGACGGGUGAGUAAUGUCUGGGAAACUGCCUGAUGGAGGGGGAUAACUACUGGAAACGGUAGCUAAUACCGCAUAACGUCGCAAGACCAAAGAGGGGGACCUUCGGGCCUCUUGCCAUCGGAUGUGCCCAGAUGGGAUUAGCUUGUUGGUGGGGUAACGGCUCACCAAGGCGACGAUCCCUAGCUGGUCUGAGAGGAUGACCAGCCACACUGGAACUGAGACACGGUCCAGACUCCUACGGGAGGCAGCAGUGGGGAAUAUUGCACAAUGGGCGCAAGCCUGAUGCAGCCAUGCCGCGUGUAUGAAGAAGGCCUUCGGGUUGUAAAGUACUUUCAGCGGGGAGGAAGGGAGUAAAGUUAAUACCUUUGCUCAUUGACGUUACCCGCAGAAGAAGCACCGGCUAACUCCGUGCCAGCAGCCGCGGUAAUACGGAGGGUGCAAGCGUUAAUCGGAAUUACUGGGCGUAAAGCGCACGCAGGCGGUUUGUUAAGUCAGAUGUGAAAUCCCCGGGCUCAACCUGGGAACUGCAUCUGAUACUGGCAAGCUUGAGUCUCGUAGAGGGGGGUAGAAUUCCAGGUGUAGCGGUGAAAUGCGUAGAGAUCUGGAGGAAUACCGGUGGCGAAGGCGGCCCCCUGGACGAAGACUGACGCUCAGGUGCGAAAGCGUGGGGAGCAAACAGGAUUAGAUACCCUGGUAGUCCACGCCGUAAACGAUGUCGACUUGGAGGUUGUGCCCUUGAGGCGUGGCUUCCGGAGCUAACGCGUUAAGUCGACCGCCUGGGGAGUACGGCCGCAAGGUUAAAACUCAAAUGAAUUGACGGGGGCCCGCACAAGCGGUGGAGCAUGUGGUUUAAUUCGAUGCAACGCGAAGAACCUUACCUGGUCUUGACAUCCACGGAAGUUUUCAGAGAUGAGAAUGUGCCUUCGGGAACCGUGAGACAGGUGCUGCAUGGCUGUCGUCAGCUCGUGUUGUGAAAUGUUGGGUUAAGUCCCGCAACGAGCGCAACCCUUAUCCUUUGUUGCCAGCGGUCCGGCCGGGAACUCAAAGGAGACUGCCAGUGAUAAACUGGAGAAGGUGGGGAUGACGUCAAGUCAUCAUGGCCCUUACGACCAGGGCUACACACGUGCUACAAUGGCGCAUACAAAGAGAAGCGACCUCGCGAGAGCAAGCGGACCUCAUAAAGUGCGUCGUAGUCCGGAUUGGAGUCUGCAACUCGACUCCAUGAAGUCGGAAUCGCUAGUAAUCGUGGAUCAGAAUGCCACGGUGAAUACGUUCCCGGGCCUUGUACACACCGCCCGUCACACCAUGGGAGUGGGUUGCAAAAGAAGUAGGUAGCUUAACCUUCGGGAGGGCGCUUACCACUUUGUGAUUCAUGACUGGGGUGAAGUCGUAACAAGGUAACCGUAGGGGAACCUGCGGUUGGAUCACCU
Molecule: ribosomal RNA, 1529 nt
Filed under: Escherichia coli DEC10C
Lineage: Bacteria; Pseudomonadati; Pseudomonadota; Gammaproteobacteria; Enterobacterales; Enterobacteriaceae
Description: bacterial SSU rRNA
Rfam family: Bacterial small subunit ribosomal RNA
Source: RNAcentral